UUCUCCUGGAAACGGGUGGUAAUGCCGGAUGCUCCGACUCCUCGCAUGGGGUGUCGGGAAAGAUUUCAUCGGUAUGGGAUGGGGUCGCGUCCUAUCAGGUAGUCGGCGGGGUAACGGCCCACCGAGCCUACGACGGGUAGCCGGCCUGAGAGGGCGACCGGCCACAUUGGGACUGAGAUACGGCCCAGACUCCUACGGGAGGCAGCAGUGGGGAAUAUUGCACAAUGGGCGCAAGCCUGAUGCAGCGACGCCGCGUGCGGGAUGACGGCCUUCGGGUUGUAAACCGCUUUUGAUCGGGAGCAAGCCUUCGGGUGAGUGUACCUUUCGAAUAAGCACCGGCUAACUACGUGCCAGCAGCCGCGGUAAUACGUAGGGUGCAAGCGUUAUCCGGAAUUAUUGGGCGUAAAGGGCUCGUAGGCGGUUCGUCGCGUCCGGUGUGAAAGUCCAUCGCUUAACGGUGGAUCUGCGCCGGGUACGGGCGGGCUGGAGUGCGGUAGGGGAGACUGAAAUUCCCGGUGUAACGGUGGAAUGUGUAGAUAUCGGGAAA
Molecule: ribosomal RNA, 547 nt
Filed under: Bifidobacterium pseudocatenulatum
Lineage: Bacteria; Bacillati; Actinomycetota; Actinomycetes; Bifidobacteriales; Bifidobacteriaceae
Description: bacterial SSU rRNA
Rfam family: Bacterial small subunit ribosomal RNA
Source: RNAcentral